GAUUGGAAAGCGAAAUGAUCGCAUUUAGUUUCGACCUAAACCUUGGUAAACCUGCCUCCAAUCU
Molecule: transfer RNA, 64 nt
Filed under: Typhlatya dzilamensis
Lineage: Eukaryota; Metazoa; Arthropoda; Malacostraca; Decapoda; Atyidae
Description: tRNA-Arg
Source: RNAcentral